UUUUUUUUUUUUUUUUUUCCUAAAUUCUGGUGGGGCCUUUGCUGCUGCAGUGAGGGAAAUUCCCUGGAUUACAGGCCAGGAGUCAGUUCAUGCUCUCUCUGUGUCUCUGGUGCUCCUCAUCAGGAAUUCCUGCCUGUUCCUCCCAGCCUGUUGGGACACCCUGCACAAGUUUCCUGGCCAUGCUUUUCAGGCCCCACAUUAAAAUAAUGUGCCCUAAAAAGCAAUUCAAGUUCUGCUUUAUUCAUGUUUAUCUCCACACUCCCAAGGAAUCCUUUACAACUUUGUGCAGAGCGUACAGGGGUGGGGGUGGAAAUCAGAUGUUUCUGCUCACCAGAGAAUGGUGCUGUGAAGUACCAAAUGUUCCAAGGCUACAUUUAUUUAGAUUUAUAAACUAAAAUUAAUCAAGAGAAGUCAUUUAUACCUAGAGUAAUUGGGAAAACAACUUCCAAGAAAAUUCCACAUGUCAACAGGAUUCUGCCAGGCUGCCAAAAUUAAUGUCAGCUAAAGUAAUGUGAUAUAGCUUUGGAAAUUAAACAUUUGGGCUUGGCACAUUUUUUCCCCUAUUUUAACUCUGCAUUUCUGUGUUAUUCCUGCAAUAGCAAAUCCUGAGACAAUAUAACUGGGGUGGGGGGGGUGGAGGGGAAACAACAAUCCUCUCCAGAUUUAAAACCUUUGAUUUAGAUUUGCUAUAAGCCAAAUCUGUACAAGCCUCCUAUAAAGAUUUCAAAAGCUGGACUCCUCAUGGGUAAAUAGCUACACAAAAGCAAAGAAAUACAAUCAGAAUUUCAGCAGUGAUAAUAAUCUGACAAUAUUUUGGAUCAAAAGCCUAAAAUCACAAAGCCAUUUGUGAACAAGACCAACACAUUUAGCUGUUUUAUUAGAGGCUGACUUCAAUCAAAAAUAGGCUGAUUUGUGCCUAAAGUUUUUGUAAUGGGGAAAAAAUAUUUCUUUGUUGCAGAUAAUUUUAAGUAAAGCACCACCUGAUUGUUUGGCUUCUGUUUAGAAAGGCUUAACCCCUAUCAUUGUAGAUAUCUCUCCAUCCAAUUUAUUGCCUCUCAGUGGGUGAGAUGCAGAGUUUUGGGUUGAGGAGAGCAGCAAAAAUCAUUUUUCCAUCUAUUGAUGUUGCCCUCCCCUUGUCCCCUGCUGUCAGUCUGAAACCAGUACUUUGUUACCUUCAUUUUAUCUUCCACCCCCUCUUCUAGACAGGAGUGGGUGAGAAUAUUCCAAAUAGGGGAUUUCUGCUGCAGAUUUAUGCUGAUCCCCUGGAAAAGGCGGCACAAACUGGGGGUUCCUUGAGUUAAUUCAUCCUUUCCCACCGUGCUUUAGGGACACGCCCUUCUGCUAAUAGGUAAUGGUACCUUGAGUUCCUUAAACAUGUAUUUUAUACACAGACAACACUUGGAGAGAGCCUCCAGUCCUGGUUAUCCACAACUUCCAAGAGUUUGCAGUCACCCAUCCCAGUGAACUGAAAUCUAGAAAAUGGCAAAUACAUGCCAGCACUGAGAAGACAGUUUUGAAAGGUUUUAAUGGGACAAGUGAGACCAAAUAAAAGAAAUACCAAAGAGACCUGAGAAGAACUCGAUGCACAACACCUCAACUGCCUAUAGUCAAUCAUUGUUGCAGACUGGAAGCUGAAUUUGCACUCUUGAUGCAGAUACAGGUGUUAUCAGCAUGCCCAACUCACAGUUACUGGCAGCUGCUCCAGCCUGGAAAAGGAAUGAACUCUGAGGAGAGUUUGUUACAGAAGCUCUCCGCAGGCACAUAAAAUCUUUUAUUUUAUCCCAGACACUCUUUCUUUCCCUGUUGUAAAGUAGGGUUAGGGGUUGCUUUGUGCACUGGAUGCUCCAGGUCAGUAUGGGAAGAUUGUUAGGAAUUAAAUUUCAAGGAAUUGAAUAAUUCUCACACCUCUGGUAGCAAGAAGCAUCUCCCCCCACCCUUAGGUAGUGGUCCAGUGCCCUUUGUUUCUGCAAGCAGCCCACUGAGCCAGGCUUUGGGUUAAUCCUGGAAUUUCACAAAACCAACUUGCCUUUGGGUUGAGUCUAUAGCACAAUAAUUUAAAAAAUGAAAUUCCAGCUUAUAGAUUAUCAUUCCAUGUAUGAGGUGUCAUGCUCAGCAGUAAAAAAUGGGGCCAAGAGGGAGGGAGGACGAUAAUUUGGGUGAUGAUGUUUGUCUUCCCAAAUAUCCCAUGGGAUUAAAUCCUGCCCUCCUGGGAAUGGCUGAACAUCCACCUGCUGAUGGGAAAGAGGGAAUUUAUUCUUUGUUUGGAUUUACUUGCACGUGCUGCUUUGCUUCAUGUGUUAAAGUGUCUCCAUCUCAGCCUUUCAGGGCUUUCUCAUGCCACAAGUUUUCCCACUUUUCCCUCUCUGAUUCUCUACCCUGCCAAUAUGGGAACCUGUGCAAUAUUCAGUUUCAGUGAGGGGUGGCAGCAAUACUGCACGCUCUGCCAAGUGUUCUUUUAAAAUACAUUAAAAUCAAAAGCAAGUUACCAUUAGAAACACAGUGAUGGGUGUGAAUGAGGAGUGGUUUGGUUCUGUGUCAACCUGAAAUAGGAAAAAAGCUCCAAAAGACAGGUCAACCCAGAAUGAGGAUAAUUUCUUUUUCUCCCCAGUGCAAAAUAAUAAGAAUUAUAUAUAACCUCCUAAAAUUUCAAUUCAAUCAUGUUUUACUUUUGAACUAGAGUGUAACAGUAAUAUAUUGCUUCAAAAUUUAAAAAGAGGUCCCAUAUUUUCAGAACAUUUCCUUUAUUGAAGUCUUUUUGGCUGAAGUUGCAUGUCAGUAAAGCAAAGUAAUUGCCUGGAAAAUAUUGAUUAGCUCUUGUCAAACACCCCUCUGCUAUUCAGUAAUUCCAUUUCAGCACUGUCAGCAUUCAAGAGCCAGCACAGGAGUUUAACUGUGUGUGUUAAGUUCUCUCAAGCAGCCCCGGUGCAGCCCUACAGACACUGAGCCACUGCAACAGCUCUGCCACAUAAAUUACAUGUGACAACUUGGCCCAACUCAGCAAACAAUCCUGUCCUGAGCUGUCUGCUGGCACAUUGCUAAUUAACAAUUAAUUGCCUUCCACAAGACUCCUGCAGAGCAGAUGAUGUGAUACUGCAGAUGUUUCAGCCAACUUGUGUUUCUCUGCAAUGUUGCAAAGUGUCCAAACAUUUCUUUAACUAUUUUGCUUUUUAAACAUUUCUUUAACUAUUUUUGUAAUGGUAUUUUUAAUCAUAUAUAUAUAUAUAUAUAUAUAUAUAUAUAUACUCCUUUCGUUAUUUUUAAAAAUAUGUAGCAGUAUUUAAAUACUGAAACUUCUUUUACUAAAAUACUUUAGAGUUGUGAAUCAUCAGUUGUUGGUUGACACCUGUAGGUUUAUAACCUGAAAAUUGGGUCAAAAUAGAACUUAGUUGGCAGACUAGGAAAAUAAAUUCUUGUGAAACACCAUCCAAUUAUGCCCAGCAAAAGCAAUAUCUCUGCUUCAAGAGCCAAAAGAGAAAAUACUCUCAAAUUUUAUUACAUCUACUUACUAAAAAUGCAUUGACUUCUUAGUCUUUCCCAGCUAAAAGAGGAAUAUUUUAUUGUAGGCUAAUCCACUGGGAAGGCAAAUGGAGAAGACACAAAAAUUAUCCAGAAAUUCAUCUCUGCUGGACAAUUAUUUUUCCCAGUGACUCGUUAAAGGUGAAAAAGAAGCUCAGUGAGAGAAGAACCCUCCAGCAACAGGGCAAACCUCACAUUUAGGUGCACAAAGCUGGGCCUGGAGGAGCAAAGAGCAGCAGGGAGAUCCUGACUUGGCUGGCACAGAUUGCAGGAGCUGCCAAAGGCUGUGGGUGGGAGGGCAGGAGGAGAUUUGUGGGAAUUGCUGCUGCACUCCUCUGGAGUGGAUGAAAAAUUCAGGCACAGAGGACAAAAUAGGCAGGUUCCUAUCAGUGGGAAAAGCCUUCCUGGCAAUUUUCAGAAAGCCCUGAGUUGAUUUUAGGGUCUUGCCCCAGAGGGUGCUGGCACUGCCCAAGCUCCUCAAGGAAUGGACACAUUCCCAAGGCUGCCAGAGCCCAAGGAGUGUUUGGACACCACUCCCAGGGAUGCCCAGGGUGGGAUUGUUGGGGUGUCUCUGCAGGGCCAGGGGUGGGACUGGAUGAUCCUUGUGGGUCCCUUCCAGCUUGGGAUAUUCUAUGAUUAAUUUUAUGUUUCAGGAUAUUUCUGACCAUUCCUACUCCCUCUCAUCUCAGUUCUUUUCCUAUCCACAGGAAAACUGAAAGAAAAGCUUAAAAUACACUUGUCUCCAAUUCUUUUCCAAGUGUCUGGCACUGAGGAGAAUCAUCACUCUAUCAGAAACACAGAGCCUAAUCCAUGGAAAACUGAAUUCAGGAGAGGAGAAGGAAUUUUGCUGGAGAUCAUUUUAUGCAUAACUUCUGCCUAUUUUUGACUCCCUCACCACCCUGAUGUUUGUAGAGUGACUUAUAUAUAAUAAAUCAGGCAGAGAGAAGAUAUCCCAUAUUACCUGAGACAUGGAGUUCUGGCUUCACAACAGCAGGAAAAAGAAGUUGUGCUCCUUUCUUUUUGCACUUUGUAAUAAGGAAGGCAGUAGUAGAAAUAAUCAAUUGAGAUUCUGUGCUCCCACCAUGUUUUAAUUUAAGCACAAUAUCCGGUGAAUGGCAUUCCCAAAGCAGCACCUAUUUCUUAAACUCUUUCUCUAAAAUUGACUUGGAAUUUUUUAUAGGAAAAAAUCCCUAUGCUGAGGAAGACUAGGCAUACAUUUUUUUUAAAACCCCAAUUUUUUAGAUGUUUAACUUUCUCUGAAUAUUGUUCUAGCCAUCAUUUCCUCAUGACUAGAAGUGUGUAGUUAAAUAAAACAGGAAGAACACAAAGAUCUCCUCAUUCAAUGUCACUUUUACUGGUCCCAUUGGGAAAGGAAGACUUUGCUGAUGGAGUCAAGGCAA
Molecule: long non-coding RNA, 4916 nt
Filed under: Taeniopygia guttata (zebra finch)
Lineage: Eukaryota; Metazoa; Chordata; Aves; Passeriformes; Estrildidae
Description: lncRNA (ENSTGUG00000020338.1)
Source: RNAcentral